RNAcentral lists this transfer RNA (67 nucleotides) under Marmota monax (woodchuck). Its description in RNAcentral is "tRNA.Ala". The record is from RNAcentral. Lineage: Eukaryota; Metazoa; Chordata; Mammalia; Rodentia; Sciuridae.
GGUUGUGGCUCAGUGGUAGUGCUCUCGCUUUGCAUGUGCGAGAUCCUGGGUUCGAUCCUCAGCACCA